CCACAGUGCGACUGAACUGGUCGCUCUCCCCUAAACCCACCUCUGCCAUGUGGUAAUGAAUUCCAUAGUUUAAUUAUGACUAAGUGAUGAAGUACUUCCUUUGUCUGACCUGAAUAUUUCAACAUUCAAUUUCAUGGGAUGGUUUUGGGUUCUACUAUUAUGAGAGCAGGAGAAAGGCAUCUCUUUAUCCACCAUACAUAAUCCUUUAUUUAUUUUUAAGCCAUUAAAAAUCCAAUGUUGCAACCUUUCUUCAUAACAGAGUUGUUCCUUUUUUAUUACCCUUUUCUGAAACAUUUUCUGCUCUAAAAUGCCCAUUCUGAGGUGCAGUGACCAGAAUUGAACACAGUAUUCCAAGCAGAGUAGCACCAUAGAUUUGUAUAAAUACAUAAAUACAUAUAAAUACAUAAUGAUACUGGCAGCUUUAUUUUGAAACCCUUUCUUAAUAACCCCCAAUAUGAAAUUCACAUUUUUCACAAUCGCCACACACUGGCUUCACAUUCACAUUGAGAUUUCUCUGCUAUUUCAGGUGCCACUUAUCCAUACAGUUUGGGGAGCGCCUUUCCCUUUUUGUUCUUACCCACCCUGAACAAUUUAGUAUUAUCAGCAAACAAAAGACUCCUCGUCCCUAAUUCCAUGCCACGUAUGACCAAGAUAAAAAAGCAACAGUCCUAGUAUUGAUGCUUGAGAGAUCUCACUUCCUACACCCUCCAUUGUGAGCACUGCUCAUUUCUUCUGACUCCAAGUUUCCUGUUCUUUAAUGAGUUACUGAUUCAUAAGAGGACCUGGCUUCUUAUCCCAUGACUUCUAUGCUUACUAAGGAAUCUUUAGUGAGGGACUUUACCAAAGGCUAUUUGAAAGUGUAUGUAGACAGUGUCUACUAGGUGACUCCUACCCAUAUGGUUAUUAACGCUCUCAAAAAAUGCUAAAUGGUCAGUUAGUCAGGUCUUACCCUUUAAAAACCAUGCUGGUUCUUCUUCAGCAAGACCUGUUCUUCUUCUAUACACUUGGCAAUUCUAUCCUUGAUCAUGUUUUCCACAAGUUUUCCCAGAACAGAUGUUAACCUAACUGGCUUGCAGUUACACCAUUCCCUGUCCACCUUGAGAAGUUUGCAUCCAGAGAUAGUCAUGCAGGCAGAUAGUUUUACAUGUGAUCUUAGACGCAAUAUAGUGAAUAGCACCUCAAAGCCACCUGUAUUCCUGUUAUUGUUGUUUAUUGAGUUAAUUGCUUUGAAGCUUGGGAUUGGUUGGUUUUAAAAAGUGAGAGGAGCAUAGUCUGUCUGGCCUCCUUGCCUUGCUGCUGAAUUUGCUUGUUACCUUGUAUCUACAAAUAGUAUAAGGUGGGAGCAUCCAGAAAGUCAGUCCUUUCAUAUGAUUUGCUACUGAUAGUUACAUGAAUGGGCAGUGGCGACUAUUUGGGGCUCUACUUCCUGUUUUUAUUCCCUACACGAAAGCUUGGACCACACUGAGGAAGAGCAAACCUUCCUACGAUUGGUUUGUACAGAAACUUCACAAUGUCCCUUCUCCCAAAUACUGUCCUAAUAUCCCUCCUUCAUUAUUAGACUUUUACAUUUGCCUUUCAAAAGGAAGGAAUGACUUAGUGCAUACAACAAAGAGUUUGGGGUGAAGAGAGACAGAACUAUUUGUACCCUAAAAUGCAAAUCUGACAUGUAGGGAAGUGAUAUCGAAAUCAGUGAGAUUUAAGGUUGCUUCUUAUAUUCCUUUUUUCAGGUGUACACAGACUAGAAUACAGGAAGGGCUAUAUUGGUCUGUCUUUCAGAAAAGAGGCAUGCUUCAAAGCUCUUAGCUGGGCAAAGAUGCAUGCAUAAUCCUUUAAGGUGAGAUAUGAAUUUUAAGACACAUGCGUAGUAAGACAUAUUUAGGAAAAUAACACCAGAAACAGUUUUUGUUUCCAAUAACCCAGUCUCUUCACAAUUACAGUUUUGAAGUAAAAAGAGUUUAUUUUAUCCAUGGGGUUAGUACCGCCCAUGCCUGGCCAUAGGUUUAUAUAUAUAUUUUUUAAGUCCACAUGAGAUGGACUUUUACUUUUGGUUAUCGUCUGUUCAUCUGCUUUUGCACCUGCCCAUUCAUAUCCAUGAGAGCAUUCACAAUCUUGAGUUAUUAAUCCAAGAAUCAACAUCAAAACAGAUUGGUAUGACCACUCUCUAUAUAAUAAUGGGCAGGAGUAAGCAGCACCGAUAGAUUUGUGUUUUUCUCCCCACCCUUGUCCCAUGGCUGAUGGCAAACCACUUUUGAAACCGAACAGAGAGCUGGGUGCAAGGCAAGGUGGGAGAAAGCAUUUGACUUACACCACCACUGAGUGGCCGUCAAGGUUGGAGGAAGUCCCAUUGUCCUUACUAGAAGGCCUGGCAGAACAUUUCUGGCCAUUCACAAGCUGUGCUUUCAAGAGUGUUGGUAGACCACAGUGCUAGUGGAGCUACUGCCAACCUCACCUGCCACCAUUUAUCCAGGUUGAUCCUCAAUCAGUAUUUUUCUUACAACAGAUGGUUGCUCAUGUCAUGUAUUCUGUGAUUCUUUUUUGCGACCAUAUGUCAUGUUUGUAAGAUAAACAUAGGUCUUUAAAAUCAAUCAAUCAAUCAAUCAAUCAAUCAAUCAAUCCAUGGGCCAACAUAAGCUCCUUGCCCUGGGGGUUUGCAUCCGUUUGGAUGUUGGUCAUCAUGGACAGAGGGAACAGAGGUUGGGGGAGAAUCCACGGGCUGCAAUUCUGUGCAGACUUACUUGGCAACACAUCCCAUUGAAACUGGUGGAACUCACUUCUGAGAGCACAUGCUUAGGUUCAGGGUAUGUGUAUAAUGCCCUUAUCAUGUGGUUAUGUGAUUGAGAAAGCAGCACACACACACAGACGAAAAUGUGCAGGCUUCUUUUAAAACUUGAUACUGAGGCCUUCAAGUACAGAUAAAAUGAGAUGAAGCUGCUAUCUCACUUGCAUGUUUCAACUGAUAAAUUAAAAAACACACACACAUUUCUUGUAUAAAACCUAACAUGCACAGGAGAUAAAUAAGUAGAUCCUGUAGAGAAAAGUCAAGAAGUAAUGCCCUGUGUAUUUUAGUGCCAUUGUGUAAGUAACGAUGCUUCAGUUUUCUUUAUCCCAAACAAGCCUUUUCCUUCUUCUUUGUCUUGAGCAACAUUCUCCCAAUUUAACUUCCAAGAUUCUAUGGGGAGGUGAAAUUCAGCUUUGCGGAAAACAGUCUCGAAGCCAAAAGAUCCUUCUGACAAUAAUGAUCCCUCCUUAAAUGAGCCGGUUUUAUUUCUCAGCUGGGGGAGAGAGAAAGGAAAGCCUUUACAACUGUGGUCACCUGGGUUGUAAAAUAAAGAAAAUAAAGUCAUCUUCAGCUUGGAAACUGGACAAAUAUUUUUAUAUCGUUAUGCCAAGCAUUCCUCCUGCUUUUUUUUUUUUUAAAAAAAAAACAUGUUUUUCUUGUUGGCAUACUUGCCAGUUCGGUUGUAAAUGUAUUUUAGAAUAGAUGUCUUUGAACAUUACAGUACCACCACUUUCUCCUCUCCUGAAGUUGACUCAAUAUUUCAGUUUAAACGAUUUACAGGAAAGCCUGCAGUCCUACAAAUGCUUACAUGGGAGUAAAAUCUCACCGAAAACAGUAAAUUUCGCUGCUGAGUAAACUUGCACAAGAUUAAGUUGUAUGACUGCCAUCCCAGGAACAUGCAGGGAAGGGUCAAAGGCGCCUUUGAACCCAGUAGGAACCCAGGGAGAUCUACAUCUGAGAACGUAGGCAUAGGAUCAAGCUGCACAUCAGCUGAAGCCAAACUCAGUUUACCUGAACUGUUAAAUCAGGUUGCUGAGUUUCAGCCCACAUCCUCAAUAGUUUCAAAUUAAUUCAAAAAGCCUCAGUGGAACUUCAGCGGAAUAAUUUUGGAGUCAGUGAUUUGUAGCCUUUGUGAUUAAGCAAAUUCUCAGCUAGAAGGAUUAGAUUUCAUGCAGACACAAGAAGAAAGCAUGUUAACUAUCUGUAACAUAUAAAGAAACCUAUCAGGAGUUGCUUCAGAGCUAAUGCACACAUACACACACAAUUCUGUGUGUGUGUGUGUGUGUGUGUGUGUGUGUGCGCGCGCGCGCGUGCGCACGUGUGUAUUUUACUUCCAGAAAAUGCCAGUCAAGAUUUUAUGGACAAAUGUUUGUCUGUGAAACCUGAGGAUGUUUAUAGCAUGUACGUAAUAGGUUCAGGCCUCUGUGAGGGAGACCAUGAACUAAGGCUUCCUGCUGAGAAGAACAUAAGUUUUAGGGGGGGAAAGAGAAAAACUAGGAGUCUUGUUUCUUCCAAAGAUUUCCUCCUACCCCUCCCUUCCUAAAGCCAGUUGUCACUAGCUAAUGCCCAAUAAUUCUGUAGAACUUGAGAAGAGUAAUAAAUAUGCAGGGCUGUGUUUUGUGUACUUUAAAAUUAUCCUUUAAUUUUUGUAAACAGUACAACUGGAACAUUUGUAAAUUGUUAUUACCAGCACCACCAUACCUUGCCCCAGGGCAAUAAUUUCAAAGCACCGCAUCACACACUAUCAAAAUAAAUUUGUGAAAGAAGGAGUAAACAAUUGAAACUGGGUCCAGUAACCAAUUUGUACUAUCGCUUGGCACAAAUGCAGUUCCACAGGUUCCAUUUCACUUACUUCAAAUUUUAACCCCAAUUCAAAUAAUGUGAGUUUUCUUUUGGUACCUUUGGUUCACGUGAGAUUCCAACUCCCCACUCCCAACCCCCACAAAUAAUAUUGUGGCAAGAUGUAACCCAAGCCAUGGAGCAGCACUAGAUACUAAUAGGUCAACAUCCUCAUCAAACAUACUAGCAUUUUCAUCAAUGAAUUGGCGGAGAUAGCGAGCAGCUUCCUCCCGCCCCAUCCCCCCCCCCCGGCCAUGUUCCAUUCACUGUGUUUCUGAGUAAGGUGAGCAGGAUUCAGCCCAUUAGCUUUUAUUUUCUGUGAAGAGCAACCAAAGCCUUACAGAGAGAGAGAGAGUCAGUCAAUUUAUGGCCAAUAAACAUAAAAGCCGAGACGGUAUCAAUGAAACAUUCUUCUCUAAACCAGAGGUCACUAAUUCUCCACUUAUUCCAUUCUGUGGUUUCAGAAAGUUUAAUUUCAGGGUGAGGAUGUGGGCUCUGGCUGUUGGUAAAAAGUUUUCUCUGGCAUGGCGGGGGGGGGGAGGUUAAGCACAUAUAAAUUUAAAUGGGUGGAAUCAGCCCCGGUGAAUUAAUUUGAGGACAAAUAAGAGUAUGUUUCCUUCUCUCCCCCCCCCCCCAGUAGUACACCAGCUGUCAUUUUUUGAUGAGGAGUGUGUGUGGAUUGGGGAGGGGACCGGGAUUUAUUUUUGAAACAUAACUUCGUGCCUGAUUCAUUGCGGUUAGUGUCACCAAACUACAGGCGAACGCGAGUUAGUGUGGCCAUUAACAUUCUUAAAUUCUAGAACCUGUCAGGAGGCAGAUAAGGUAGGGCAGGAUCCGCACACCUCCCCAACCUCAAUACUUGGGAUGUUUGCAAUAUGUUUCUAUUUUCGUCACACCUAUGUGUGGCUAUCCAUCUGGUCUUAAUCAAUCAGUAUCAUCCCGGAGCUUUGCUGUUCUCCCCAGCUGAAAUAAUACACUCCUUCCAUCGCAGGCUUCUGCCUCAAGGAGGGUCACUUCUCAUGAUUCCCCAGCCAAGGCACAUUAACAAGGCUUACAUAUUUGUAAACAUAGGUAAACCCAGGAGGGGAAGAUGGGAUGGAACAUUUUGAAAGAUGAAUAUUUUAUGAAUAAACCACUGUGAUGUUUAUUUAGUGAUAUUACAUAGCAAAACUUGAUGAAGUACCGGAGGUAAAUUUGUUUUAGCAAAAGGGGAAGGCAGGGUACCCUCAGACGUGCAGAGACAAAGAUAAGUGAUGCAGGAAUGAAUGAUCUGAUGUGCCACCCCUAUUUAAGCCGCCAAGGAAGCUUGUUUAUAAAAUAUGUCCCUCCAAGUGCAGGGAAAGUGGGUGGCGAAUCCUGUAAACUGUGCCAUUUAUUUAUUUAGAUUGCACAUCAGGAGAUAAAACAAAUGAAAAUUCCAACUUGUUAAUAAUUUACAUUUAAGUGGAAAAUUCUUCCAUGCUGUUAAGAUACCUCCAAGACCUGACACUGUAAAGGCAAAUAAUUUACAUUCUUUGUGCACAGACAACUCGGCUCAUUUUCAAAAGGAAAAAAAAAGUAGAGUGGGGAUAAAAAUGUGUGUUCAAGAUACAUUUACUGUUUUCAUCCUUCUGCGUUUGCUGUUUCACCCCCUCCCCCCCGAAAUAGAUGCGAACUUCUUUUUUGAACUUCGCCUCACCGUUCAUCAGGUGUUCCUUGCACACAAUCCGCACAACCUAGGAGGUUCGCAAUGUGAGAAGGAAGCUUUUCUUUUCAACACUAUUACUUCCCACACCAACAGCUUGUGCAAAGAAAGUUUUUUCCCCCUCUCUGGGGUGGGGGAAGACGCCUGAAUAAAAAAUAAAUAAAAAAGAGGAGUGUGCAUAACAAUAAAUACCUCUGUUCUGGGGCUUUUGUUCUUUUUUUUUAUGUCAGGGGACUUUUUAGCUGCGCUGCCUGGGUUACUGCUCUGGAAGGUUGGGAGAUCUCUUGUUGAAGGAGGUUUGUGAUUGAAGGCCCUCUGACACAACCUUUUGUUGGCCUGAGGUGUUUGAUCCUCUUUUCCUUUUCUUCUUCUUUUUUAAAAAACCCAACCCCAUCCCUUUAAAAAUGGAUAACCAGCACUUCUUUUACUUAUUGUCUGCUAUUGGAGAGAGUUACUGGGGGGGGCUGUAUAAGUUUAACUAGUUAACCCUUUGCCUACUAAUAGGUUUCAGACACAUCACACUUAAAAACAAAACAAAAAAGUAUGUGGAAUAUUUUCGUAGCUUUGCCAGGUAUGCAAAUCCUCUUUCCUGCAAAGUCAUGUGCCCUGCAUACCCCUGGACUUUAGGUUUCAACUGUGCUCUUGUAAAAAGGUUUGUUCCCACAUCCCACUGACCCUACGCUCAGAUAAUUUAGAAACCCAAUACAAGUGCUGAAACCUGCAUGUUAGAAAUUGGCUAUCCUAAAGCACAUUGAUCACUGAUAUUGUGCCUGCUGGCAUGUUUCCUAAGCUUACCUUCCAUUAAGACAUGAAGGAAUUCUCAGGAGCACAAGCUGAUCUGCAGCAGUUUCCUUGCACUGGAAAGGGGGACUCCAGCAACAAUGGGAGUUACUUUUCAGAACUAAGUGUAAAAAUCCGAAACUAAGAAAGAAGAGCAUCUUAAAAUAAAAAAUACCAGUGUGUUUGCUUCCUAGGAGCUUUGUGAAUCAAGGCUAGAAUAUCUCCACCCCCCACCCCCAAAAACCCACUGAAGAGACACAACCCAGGCUGUAGGCAAGGAAAGCAGCUUAAAUGGAUUAUUUAACAAAAAGCAACUUAUGGUUUCCAGAUAGUGACCUACAUUCGGCAUACAAAGAUGAUGUUUUAUGGUGGUGAUAGGGUUAAUAACCUAACAUCAUUCAUGUAGUGUUUUUUUGAAAAUUGAAUUUUACUGCUACAAAGUAAAUGUAACAGCCCUCUAGAGACAAUAUUACAGGCACUUUAUUGUUUGCUAAGCUGAUGUCAUCUUUCUACAGACUGACUUUAAAACAAAGGCAGAACAUUUAUUACAAAUAUCACUGUGUGAAAGGAAAUCUACUGAAAUACUGUUUAGAAGGUGAACUGAUAAAAAAAAUAAUUGUACUCAAGAUUGGCUUUGAUCAUCUGCAGAGUUAUGCUGGCUGGAUCAUUCUCAUGUGAUUCCCUACCCCCCACCCCCACCCCCAAAAUCCUCCAUAUUUUCUAUAUUGGAUUUGCAGUCACUAAUUUUCUUAAUAUUUUUCAUCUCUGAGCAUGGGUUUUAAUCAAUAUCUGGUUUUUUAAAUUCCUUUAAAACUUUCUGUGUAUUUCAUGGGAGGAUCUGAUAGAUGAAUGAUUUUUAAUCCACCAUUUUAAUGCAGAGAGAUAAAUGCUGCUUAUUAGCUUUAAUGAAAGCACUUAUCCAACACAAUUUUUAACCCUCCACUGUUAAAAAAAGUGUGUGCAUCCCAAUAUUGCAUUAUAGUUCCAUACCCCACACAAAUAUGCGAAGACUAAAGGUAUAUAUUUGGGCUUAGUUUUUUCAUAAUUUACUGAUGCCUAGGGGCACGCUAAUAAAAAUGGCAGAACAUCUGAACUCUUUAGAAGCCAAAUUCCCUAUUAACUUCUAUGAGACUGGAGGGCUCAGCACUUCAGAAGAUUCAGUAGUUUUUGUCAAGCUAGAUUACAUCAUUUUAGGAACUUGAUUUGAAACACUCAACUUUGGGCAGGGGAAAGGGAAGAGAUGUCAUGGGGACACACUAAAGCAGAUCCUUGCUUUCAGCUACCAGACGGCUUCAUUAGUUUCUUUCCUUGCACUUUCAAAUAUUACCCAAGCAAACUAACUUAUUUUAUUUUUAAAAGGCAAACGAUGUGCUAUGUUCUUUUUGUUUCUAACCCCUCCAGAUUUCUAUUAAUGUUGUCAGAUGCCAGGGGUGGAACAGCAAAAAAUCAAAGAACUUUUUGAUUAUUUUUUUUUGAAUGGCUAGAAAAUGUUCAUCUCUGUUGAUUCUUCACAUGAAGCAGAAAGCUAAAGGAAGAAAGCAGAUGACUAGCAGCUUUGCGUAGCUCUGGGAAAAGGGUGAACAUACAGGUGAAAAUGAAGGGUGGCAUAUAGGCGAGGAAGAGUAAAUAGAGUAGAAAAAUUGUCAAUAUGUGCUAUGAGUCAAAGGAGCUCAUUUGAUGGCUUUGUGGGUGAAGCAUGUAUUCCAAAAGCGGACUUUUACCUGCACUACUAAGCAGAGGUUUAUAUUCACGACUUCUUGUUAAAUAUGUAAUGCUGACGGGCAGUGCCUGUCUAAAUCACUGGGAUUAAAACUGGCAAUUGGACUGUAACAGUUCGUUUUCAAUGUGCUCAGAGCAAAGUUUGCCAGUUGCCAACAAUUACCCAAGCAAGUUUGACUUCUUUCGCUUAAUGCUCAUAUGUUCUGAUAUUUGAAUAUUAUUUUGCACAUCAAGCAAAUCUACAUCUGGCAUAAAGCAAGAUUUUGCUGUGCCUUGUCUCAGUCGUGUCAACUGUCCCCAUGCCUUUGUACUUGCUCAGUUGUUAUGUUCGGAACCAGGUUCUCUUUGGAAAAGAAAAGCUUUACAAUUUGGUUACGACAGAUCUCCUUUCCAUGAGCAAUCAAAAUUGCAUGCCAACUCAGGUUAAAGAUUUCGGUCCAUAGAAUGCAACACCUAGGAAGUCCUCCAAUUAUUUUAGAUACUCACAGAACUAUUCCUCCUACUGGUGACACAGCAGCCUAUCUGGGAGCUUGUCAAUUGUUCUAGUACUAGAUUAAGGAAAUAGGCCUACAAUCAUAUACAUUGGUGACUACCAUUCCAGUAUCAUCUAUUGAGCUGAUGGGAGUCCAACAUCUGGAGGGACCCAUAUUGGCAGCCACACUUACUUGGGCAUAAUCCUCAUUGAAUUCAGUGUUAUGUACAUCUGAGUAUAUGUGCAUAAGACUGCGCUAUAAAUGUGACAUUCUCUCCCCACCCCCAUCCACAGUCCUUCGUCAUCUUCCUUGCCCUUCAUCUAAAAGCUAGCUCAAAUUAUCCCUUUAGGGCCUUGGGUUUUUUGUCAUUAUGGGUUAAUGGGUGGGGUGGUGAGAUUCAUGGCAAAUAAUGGCUCCAUUUCAGUACUGUACUUGUUUCCUCCAGUUCCUCAGAAGGGCCUUUGUUUAGAACGCAUCGCAUUCUUACUUGUACACUGUUUAAUUUGAAGAAAUUCUAAUGAGAGCUUCUCUGAUCAGGAAUCUGAACAAGAGAUUUAAUUUGCUCUGCAAAUCUCUGUGCGUGUGUUCAGUCAAAAUGUGCAAAUUCAACCGAGGGUCCAAAAAAAAAAAAAGUCAAGUAGAUUUGAAAAUAAGACUUUUAAAAAAGGGUUGACUGAUUUGACCCGAAGAGGAAGUGACGGUGCUGUGAACCUGAAUUGCUGGGCAGAAGUUGACACAGAUCACCUCAGCUUAGUCUCACCUCCAUCACCUGGUUGUAUGCUUGGAACAGAUGCAGUUCAUUCUGAUAAAGGCUUGUUCCACAGAGCAUAACUCAAAAGUGAGACACAGCCAGUCAGGAUUCCUGAAUGAGUAUACGUGUGUGAUUCACAUAUUUGCAAACAUGUGUUUGCCACAUUCACACUCUACAUUUUCAGUUGCACACUUUAAGCAUCUCUGAGGGAAAGUAAUUAGUGUGGGAAGUAGCCCAAUAAGACCUGACAUAAAGAAACGCAACGAUGUUCCAGAUCUUGAGCUAUGUUGUCAAAGACCUAAUGCAAAGACUGUUUCUAGCUUCCAAUGGGCUUUGGAGUCACACAGUCUCAUCUCCAGGAGUCAGUACUCUUACAAGCUCACCUUUUCUGAGAGGCAAUUUGAUGUGGGAGAAGUUGGCCUGAUUCAUGUAACUUUUUCUGACUGCUUUACUAAAUGACAAUAUGAGAGUCGGUGCCAGCACCAAUAGCCUCUUUUAGGGCUUAUCCACACUCCCUCUUGUCGCACUGCUUUCCCCUGGGGAAAAUGCUCUUUAGUGCUCAAUCAGAGCAAACGGCAACUCGGGGUUCCGCCAGAUUGACAUUUGUUCCAAUCUAUCGCUGAAGAGUAGGUAUUGCCUUAUAAAGGAGCGGGGCAAGGGGAAAACCACUCAGGCCCAUGCUUAGAAAGUAUGGGUCCAGCACAACAUGGCUCUAACCAUGCUUGCUAGGCAUGGCACAAAUGGGAGGAUGGACAAGCCCUUAGGUCUUUGUAUCCACUAGUAUCAGUAGUGAAUCUGUGUUUGAGUUACCACUUACUUCAAAUUUAACAGAUGCCACAGCGACCUUAUAGAGCAGGGGUUACCAAACUGUGGUCUGUGGACCACCAGUGGUCUGUGACCUUCAUUCAGGUGGCCUGGGGGGUGUCUGCAAAGAGGGAGCAGAGGCUGGGAACGGUGGGUGCAGCGUGUUAAAUAUUCGUAUUGAUUUUUAAUUGUGUUUUUAUUGCUUCUUUCAUUUCUCAUAUUGCGCCUUAUUAUUUAUUGUUGCCUUUUAUGUUGGAAUUCAAAUGGCAACGCUAUAAAAUGCAAUGUAAGAAAUAAAAGAAGCAAUAAAAACCAAUUAAAAAUAAUACAGAAUCUAGCACACCACAUUUCAACAGGCAGAAAAAAACAAUAAGUGGUCCAUCAAGACCAGGGGUCAGCAACCUUUUUCAGCCGUGUGCCAAUCCACCGUUCCUCAGACCAUGUGGUGGACUGGAAUAUAUUUGGGGGGGGUGAACGAAUUCCUAUGCCCCACAAAUAACCCAGAGAUGCAUUAAAAGCACACAUUCUACUCAUGUAAAAACACACUGAUUCCCAGACCGUCCGCGGGCUGGAUUGAGAAGGUGAUUGGGCCGCAUUCGGCCCCUGGGCCUUAGGUUGCCUACCCCUGAUCAAGACCAUCAGCCAUUUUCAAGUGAUCUGUAGCAGGGUGUGAAGUUCGGGGACCACUGCUAUAGAGCACUGUUUUUGUUUGCAUACCGCAAACAUUUUUAUUAUUAGCUUUAUUUCUAUGCUAUUCCUUUGUCCAAAGAGAUCACAAUAAUGAAUCCAUAAGCUACAGCAAAAAAACUGUAAAAUCAGAAUCAAAACAUUAUGUACAAUAAACAGCUUAAUAAUUCUGUAGUAUUCUGAUGUCUGACAUGGCUCCCAUUAAUACUCAGACUGACUGAGUAAAAAUGCCUCCAGCUUAUGCUGAAAGAUUGCCAAUGAAGGGGAUGAUUGAACUGCCAAAUGGAAGCAGUUCCACAGUCAGGGAGCCACUGCGGAGAAAGCCCUGUCCUAAGUAAUUGCAAAACAUACCUCUAGCAAAAGGUAGGACCCCAACAAGGCACAGGCCAGUACAUAUUGGAAAAAGCAGUCUUUCGUGUAUUUUGACCCUGAGCCUUUGUGUGCUUUAAAUACUAGUUUCAAAACAUUAAAUCCGGCCCUGUAAUAUAUAGAAACCCAAUGCAGUUUGGAACUAUAAGCAACUGAGCACAUGCUUUUUUUUGCCUCAGAUGUUUUUCCUUCUUUUUGUUAUCAGGAACUUAAAGAAAUAAACAGCCACCGCACAGAGAAAACUUAAUAGUUGCAAGGAAUAUGGCUAACAGUCUUGAAAAAAAAAUUGUUUGAAACAGAGAGGUUCAGGCCAAGUCCUGGGCAUUCUUGAAUAUUUGAUGUGCUAAAUCCCAGAUCCAAAAAAAAUAUUUCUAAGUUGUAAUGAGGUUGUUGGAAGUGUGGAUCAGAUUCUCUAACCUACAAGAGGCAAAUAUGCACCCCCCCUUUUUUUAAACCAGAUGAAAUGUUAGAACAGUGUACUGUGUGAAGCACUGCCCAUUUUUCUGCACAAUUUUAGUUACAAUCGAAUUCACAGAGGCUUUAAGAGGGAGGAAAAACAACAACAAUGGGUAUAAUCACACACUGGAACCUAAGAAUUAGGUUUUGAUGAAGCGUGAUGGAAGAACCAAAAUCUUGAGGAAUGCUUUCCAAAUAACCAGAGAAAAAUAAACCGUUCCUUAUGUCAGUCUUGUUAGAGAGGGAUUAAGAAACUGGCAAUUAUUUUGGCGACCUUAAUUGUUGCUCUGCAGGAAAAUAUGUAAUUAGAGCACGUUCGCAGGCCCGCACACCUGCAGCACAUCCUACAGUAUAAUGUCAGCUUUCAGUGCUUGCCCGUGCCAGGUUCUAUCACAACCAGUCACAGUGAUGCUCUGAGAACAUUUCGGACUCAUGUAAUGUGGCUUCUGUGUAUGAAAGAAGCAGGCAUUUACACUGGCAUACAAUGGAGGGCAUUACUGUAACACUGGUUUCAUUCUUUUCCAAACGCCUACCUUCAACGCCGCUCUGGUUUACUCAGUUUGAGGUUUUAUUGUUACGGUAUAAUAGUCCUGUACAUUUCUGAAAUUCCCUUAUUAUACAGCUUAUUAAUACAGCACUGGCUUGAUUAUCAGGCGACAGUUGUGAAGGGGAAGAUUCAGCGUGCGAGCGAAGCCAGAAGCUGGACGAAUGCUAAAUAAGAAUAAUUGUGUUCGGGGCAUUUUGAGUAUAUAGAAGUGUGCAGAUGCCAACAAGUGUGUAUUCAGAGAGAGGACACACACACACACACACACACACACACACAUUACAGACACAUUUGUGUUGCAACAGACCUAAAACAUAGGGACUUUUUUGUGAGGGUUUUUUGUUGUUGUUGUUUUGCUUUUGUUUUGCUGCAGUUUGAAAGGUUCUGUGCACCACCAUCUCAUGAAACUUUCCAGUUUUGCUCCACCUCUUCCCCUCCUUUAUUACCUUUAAUUUUAAAACUUGGGAGGUUUGAAACGCUAGGGUUUCUUUUUCUUGGAAUAAAAAGGGGGGAGCACAGUAGAGGGAAUAACUGUCUUACAGCUAAAUUCAGUAAGCUGGCAUGCUGAUAGUUAACAGACUUCUUCCCCUAAGGGAGAUACACUGUAUUUUGCUAUCUGACAUGUUGUCAUAUAUAAAGAAAUCAAUUGGUAAUUAAAUGAUGCACCUUGUGAAGAUGACAAAAGGCAUUUGGUUGCGAAAAGAGAACUGGGUUGUGAGGGGUUUGUAAUGAAGGCCUAAUGACUAUUCAUAAGAGAUUUUCAGUCCGUUGAUCCACUUGACUGGAAAGUUCUGCCCUGGAGAGUUAGUGCUGUCAGUUUCUCUCACCUCAGAAAGCCGCCGCAAUCGACGGUGUAGAGUAUGAGCGAGAAAUUAUCUAGUUUUUGCUUCAGGCCUGUCUUAGGUCACAUGCAGAAGGCACACAUCUGGCUUCCUGUAGGUGCAACCUCAGGACAUAAACUUUGACUAAUUUUUAAACUAUAAAUAUGUAAGACUGACACUGAAUAAGUUACCUUUUAUUCACAUUUUCACGUAUUUUUUGGCACAUCAAAGGAAGAUACCAUUUUGGCCUCCCUAUGCUACUCAUAUUUCAGUAAUUGCAAUAUAUUUCCUUCAUGUGACAAAGCGUUUUGCAUAGGAAGUUUCCAUUUCUGUCACUGGACCUUUCUUCCUUUUGUUUCAUUCUGUAGAGUCAACUAACCAGUUAGAAGUAAUUUUUUUACAGUUACCUUGAGACUCAACAAAGAGUAGUGUCAGGAGGAAUUACUGAUCUGCCUAGUUUCUCUUGAGUAGCUUACUUUCAUUUUGAGGGUUUCUCAGGUCACUAGAACAUAAGCUGGCGAUAUGAGAGCCACCAGCAAGCUGUUCUUUUAAGGGUCUUCUCUGAUGCAUCGCCUCUUCAGUCAAAAGUAUAUUUUUAGAUGGUCAGAUUUUAAACUACAGUUCCCGGCAUUCUUUGGUGGAAGCCAUGGGCCUUAAAUGUAAGGUGUGGAUGUGACCUCACAGCACUGCAAUUCCUGAGGCAAAUCCUACAGCCUACCUAUGAGUGAAUGCUAGGAAACCCUUAGCAAACAGCAAGGCAGUGACAUAAAGGCCACUACAUGGUCUUGCAUGGAACUUAGCCACUCAGGCGUCAUCGCCCCUACUCUGUCUUCAGUGUAUCACUUCAGUGGGGAUUCACAUGAUGGAUUGCUAAUUCGUUAAAAAGAAUAUUCCACUACAUUGACAACUAGCAUGUCAGAGAGAUGGGUGCCUUAGAAGAUGCUAGGUUGGUAUGUGGUGAUGUAGUGUAGUCCUGAUACAGGAUUUACCACCUAGUGUGAACAUGGCCUAGGAUAAGGUGGAACUGGUGUACUGACUAGAAGAUGAAGCACAAAAAAAUCCUGCUAAUUAUAAUCCUUUGGCAAAAGAUAACAAAAAACUAAAGGAAGUGUUUACAAGUGACCAGGCACUGAUGAUUACUUCGUAGGACUUGGUAUAACGACAGUAUUCAUUGACUCUGUACAUAUUUGCUUUUAAAAAGCAACUCUCUGGCUUAUCUUGUCAACUCACCUUAUCAAAGGCAACUUCAUUCAUCUCCCCCUCCCCAUGGGUACUUGAGACUAGAAUAACAUUUGCAGAUUAGAAGCCUCUUCACACAGCCAUUGGCUAUCUGGGAGAUGCAGGAAAAUGCACUCGAAAAAUCAGAGAUCUUGGUAUGCUUAGAAUUUUGAAGCCAGCUGAUUUUGGUUGUGUGAAUCAGCCACAAGGCAUCACAAGCAUUGCUCCAAACACGCAUGGCAUGAGAAAACAAUAUGGCAAACCUCAGAGGUUUCCAUCUGCCAACAGUGGGAUCAGCUGAGUAAUUCAAUACAUUAUGCAAUAUUGCAGAAGGCAUUGAUGGUGUUCCCGCCUUGUGUGUUGUGGUUACUGAGUUUUACCGAUGUGUUUGCUGGAGCUGACAAAGUGAACCAACUGAAUGGACAAAUGCCAAAAAAACAAUUAUGUUUAUUAAUGUGCAUUGAUUACUUGUUUAGGAUAUAAGAGAAAAUUUUAAAAAAUGCAUUAGUAUUUAAAGCUUUUUAUAGCUAGGCUAAUGAUUGCUUGUAAUAUAGUGUUUAGUAAAGGCCAUUCUAUGAUACCUAUAAGUCUCAGCUUUGUUGUCAAAUUAGUUGACUUUGAUUUACAGGGUUGUCACUAUUAGUAUAAAUCUUUAUUUCUUUAAAUAGGAGUUACCUAUUUUCAGUCACAUUGAAUAAUAUAAAUCAGUGCCAGUAUACCUGUUGAUUCAAUAGGAUUGUUUCACAUGAAAAGUAUUAUGGUUGCCAGAUUCAGGCUUUUAGGUAUAUACAGCAAAUACAUCAAAAUGUGGCCUACCCAUCAUAACAGAUUGGAAGUCAAGGGUUAACUCUGACUUCUCUCAUGUUAACAGUUAGGAGAGGACUUGUCUAAAAUGCCCUACAUUAUCGUCUGUAAAGAGACUGCAGUAGUAUCUCUGUGGCAGCUUAUAUGUGAAGGGAAUUUGAUCUGGUGCAUGUAAAUGUAUGUUUCUGAGCAUCCUGGCUAGGAAGUAAAGCCCCUUGAAUUCAAUAAGCCUUCGGCAUACAUUUGUUUUGGUAAGACCUUGCUACUUCUAUGCUUAAAGUCUCUAAUGCUCCAGUAACUCCAGAUUAGACUACUGUCGUGUACUUUAUUUUGGGCUGUCCUUGAAGACAGUCCAGAAGCUUUAUUCAUUUCAGAAAGUAGCUGCCAGGGUUCUGACUGAAGCCAGUCUUUCAUAUCAUAUCACAUUGAUCUUGCAACAGGUAUAUUGGUUGCCAGUUUGCUUCCAGGAUCAUUUCAAGAUCAUGGUUUUUACUUUUAAAGUCCUAAAUGGCAUGAAACAAAAAUAUCCCAAGGUCCUGCAUGUGCAAAACUAUUUUUUUCUCCACCGCCAAAAAUAUUGUGCACAAAUAGCUGACACAGGGGUGCUGUCCCCCCACCCCACCCGUCAUCUGUGACGCCCAAAAUUUCAAAGCCUUCCAAGAGACAUCUUCCUGACACAAUCUCUGCUCACUUUUAGCCAGUAGCAAAGACAGUAGCCCUAUUGGGCAUUUGGUCUCCUUAUGUAUAAGCAAACCUAUGAGGAGAAAUGAGGGCAUGGUGCAGAAUCGUGCCCUUUCCAAUAUAUCAUCUGUACCCAGCUGAGAACCCCCCAUGAGUUUAAGGACAAAAGUCUAGAGCUGAUUCUACUUGUGCGGACUGUCUGUGUGAUUAAAAAGGGUUUUGAGGCGAUUGGACCUCUGAACAGGGCUAAAGUUAUUCCACUUUAAUUUCAAGUUAUCCCUUUUUGUUUUAUGCUGCGGCUGUCUUUCUGAUUCAUUUUGGUUUAGCCCAUUUUGUUUGGUAUGACUGUAACGGUUGUUUUAUUAUUGUUGCAUCUUGUAUUUAUCAUCUCUCUCUCUCUCUCUCUCUCUCUCUCUCACACACACACACACACACACACACAUAUAUAGCUGAGGUGUACAAUUUGUUAAGAAAAAUAAAUAAAAUAAAAAUAUGCUUAUUUCUGCUAACCCCAUGAGCUGGCUCCCUCCCUAGUCCCAACAACGGAGGAGGAAUUAGCAAAAUUGAAUUCAUGAAACAGGGUCUAUUGAAGUAUGAAACCCAACACACAACACCCUUUUUUGUGGGUGCUACUUACACAUUUGUUUUAGCGCUAACGUGUCAAGUCGCACUGCAGGAAUCUCUUGUUUGAGCAGGUAUUAGGCUGUCUUGCUAUUCUUAUUCAGGAUUCCAUUUCAGCCUGGUCAGGACUUAUUAGAAGGAAAAGGUCAAGUAGUCCAGAUCUCACAUCAUGUCCCCUGUCCAGCCCCACACAGAUGAAACAGCACGCCCAAAGGGUUCCCUUUGAGGGACAAUGUAAAGCCCAUCUCAGUAACUUAUCUGACAUAAAUCAAAUGUAGCUGUAUCAGCAUGUGGCUUAAUUAUGUCUGGGUUCUACUCCAAAGCUGCUAAAUAAUUUCUAAAAGUAUUUACUUUAAGCCUGUGCAAGGUGUCUGCAUCAAUGUAAGAAAAGGGCAGCGCUGAGAGUAACGGAAGUUGCCAAGUCAUGAAACAGUGGUCAUGUUGUCAAGCUUAUGAUCAUAACAUGACAUCUAGCAAAACUAGGCUUUAGGGUGGCUAUUAGAACACCGGAUUGGAACCUGAACUAUGUGUAGCAUAACGUGGCUGUACUUGGCCCUCUCUCUCUCUCUCUCUCUCUCUCUCUCUCUCUCUCUCUCUCUCAUUUUAUUCCCAUCCUUUCCCCCUUUCACUUUGGUUACAUAUCUUAACAAGAAGGCUUUGCAUUUUAACAUGGAAUAACAUAGCUGUUAUCAUUUUUUAAAUUUAGAUUUAUUUCCCACCAAGGGUGGCUUACAGUAAUUUUAAAAUACAAUAUCAAAACAGUUUAAAAAAAAAUUAAAGUCAAGGGAACGGGGUGAGUCCUAAAAUAUAUAUCUCUCAGGUGUUGCAGGCCAGGAUAUUUACCAGUAAUAUCUAAAAAAAUAAUAAUAAAUAUGCCGAUAUAUUUUAAAUGUCACACUUCUGAGAAAGGGCAGUGUUGGUUAUGCAUUCAUCGUUUAUCUCCAGCUUUGGAUUUGUAUUCCCCAAUAAUGCACCUUGACUGAUUUCAAAUCAGCACCUGUUUCCCUAGUGCGAUUUCCGGAUGCGGCCCCUCUGAAAAAGCUACGCUAACUUCCCCAGCUUUCAAAAAGCCACACUUUGGAAAACGACACUAAUGGAAUACCCCUGUAUAAAGUUCUUUCCACGGUGGCCAUCCCUGUUGAAAGUAAUGGGGCCUGACAGUUCCUUAGUUAAAAAUCAUACAGAAGGGUCACUUUUCCUUAAAUUAUCUAUUGAAUGCCAGCUGUUCACAACUUCAGCUGCCUCGCUCGGUUUCCGCUGCUUAAAAUGUCUCCAGCUUUCGCGCAACGUUUGUCUCGGAAGAUGUCACCCAAAAAGUUUGUGGAUAGUAACACCUCGGUGGAAGUAACUCACUGCAAAUGCACUUUGCAUUUGUCCUUGCCUGUGGUGGCUAAGCGAGGCGGUGGUGACAGCAGGGUGUCUGUGUGGCGAGGAGGGGGGAGGAGGACUAAAGUCUGGAGAAUGUUCAGGUUAUUCAUGCUGCCUGUUGCUGCACUUGAGUUAUAUCAUAAUUUCCCAUUUGCUGCACAACUUUAUUCUAUUUUUAUGCUUCUGAGUGAUGGGGCUUUAAGUACUCACAAUUGAUACUUCCGUGGUGUGAGCCCUAUCAGAGGCCACCUCUGAUAGAUAAAGCUCUCUUUUUCUCUCUCUUUUUUGCUGGAGAGUGGGGAAUGGGGUCACAGUCAAGGGCCUUCCUUUUCUCUGCUCUAUUAAAGCUAUAGCCAUUCUGGAGCUUCUCUCUCUCUCUCUCCCCUUCCCUUUCAUGAAAGGAAACUACACUCAGAUCAUGCUUAUUUCACUAUCAAAGCUCCCACACUCAAAUGUUUCUCAUUACUGGCCAAAAUGAGCAAUGGUCAUCUUUGGAUCAUAAUUAGAAGCCUUACUC
Molecule: long non-coding RNA, 18915 nt
Filed under: Podarcis lilfordi (Lilford's wall lizard)
Lineage: Eukaryota; Metazoa; Chordata; Lepidosauria; Squamata; Lacertidae
Source: RNAcentral